Molecule: ribosomal RNA, 468 nt
Filed under: uncultured bacterium
Lineage: Bacteria
Description: partial 16S ribosomal RNA
Rfam family: Bacterial small subunit ribosomal RNA
Source: RNAcentral
GACGAACGCUGGCGGCGUGCUUAACACAUGCAAGUCGAACGGAAAGGCCCUGCUUUUGUGGGGUGCUCGAGUGGCGAACGGGUGAGUAACACGUGAGUCACCUGCCCUUGACUUUGGGAUAACUUCAGGAAACUGGGGCUAAUACCGGAUAGGAGCUCCUGCUGCAUGGUGGGGGUUGGAAAGUUUCGGCGGUUGGGGAUGGACUCGCGGCUUAUCAGCUUGUUGGUGGGGUAGUGGCUUACCAAGGCUUUGACGGGUAGCCGGCCUGAGAGGGUGACCGGCCACAUUGGGACUGAGAUACGGCCCAGACUCCUACGGGAGGCAGCAGUGGGGAAUAUUGCACAAUGGGCGGAAGCCUGAUGCAGCAACGCCGCGUGCGGGAUGACGGCCUUCGGGUUGUAAACCGCUUUCGCCUGUGACGAAGCGAGAGUGACGGUAAUGGGUAAAGAAGCACCGGCUAACUACGUG